UCCACCAACCCCCCUCACCUCACCUAUAUAUUUUUAUCUGCUCUUUCUUCAUUUUCAUUUAUAUAUAAAAUAUAUAUAUAAAAUAAAAGUCCGCUUUUCUCGCAAUGGAACUUGUAACACCUCAAGUGGAGAAGAUGGGGGGAAGUAGUAAAGAGAUAACAAGGAAUUCGACGUUAAUUUGUGCACCGAUAAUGGCGGAUACGGUGGAUCAGAUGUUGAUUCAGAUGAAUUCUGCCAAAAUAAGUGGUGCUGAUUUGGUUGAAAUCAGAUUGGAUAGUUUGAAAGGGUUUAGUGCAAGGGAGGAUACUCAAACCCUUAUUAAACUUAGUCCUUUACCGACGCUUUUUACGUACAGACCAACAUGGGAAGGUGGUCAGUAUGAUGGAGAUGAACAGAGCCGAUUGGCUGCUCUCCGGUUAGCGAUGGAGUUAGGAGCUGAUCACAUUGAUGUUGAGCUAAAGGCUGUUGAUGAUUUUAACAAUUUAAUCCGUGGAGAUAAGGCUACAAAAUGUAAACUUAUAGUUUCUUCCCACAAUUAUAAAAAUACUCCAUCAGUAGAAGAGUUGGGCAACCUUGUGGCGAAAAUACAAUCAACAGGGGCUGACAUAGUGAAGUUUGCAACAACCGCUGUAGAUAUAACUGAUGUAGCACGGGUUUUUCAAAUAACUGCUAAUUCUCAAGUAAGCGGCGUUCCAAUUAUAGCAAUGGUGAUGGGUGAGAAGGGUUUGAUGUCUAGAGUACUCUGCCCAAAAUUUGGUGGAUAUUUGACAUUUGGUACCCUUGAACAUGGAAAGGUAUCUGCACCUGGGCAGCCUACAAUUAGGGAUCUUUUGGACUUGUUCAACUUUAGGCAGUUGGGGCCUGACACAAAAGUAUUUGGUAUUAUCGGGAAGCCAGUUGGGCAUAGCAAAUCACCUAUGUUAUACAAUCAUGCUUUCAGAUCAGUUGGCUUCAAUGGUGUUUAUGUACAUUUGUUAGUGGAUAAUGUGAAGAAUUUUCUGGAGACAUACUCAUCUAUCGAUUUUGCUGGUUUCAGUUGUACCAUUCCUCACAAAGAAUCGUUACUUCAAUGUUGUGAUGAGGUUGAUCCAGUUGCCAAGUCGAUAGGAGCAGUUAAUUGUGCUAUCAGGCGACCAAAUGAUGGGAAGUUGUACGGCUGUAAUACCGACUAUGUUGGUGCUAUUUCUGCUAUCGAGGAUGGUCUACGAGGUUCAGGCAUUCAGAAUGGUGCAACUGGGUCACCCUUAGCCGGUAGACUAUUUGUAGUAAUUGGUGCUGGUGGUGCUGGAAAAGCACUUGCCUAUGGAGCAAAAGCGAAGGGUGCAAGAAUUGUGAUAGCCAAUCGGACUUAUGAUCGUGCUAGAGAAAUUGCUGAGAUAAUUGGUGGAGAAGCAUUGUCUCUUGCUGAUCUAAAUACUUACAGCCCAGAAGAGGGCAUGAUACUUGCAAACACUACUUCAAUUGGUAUGCAGCCGAAAGUUGACGAGACUCCUGUUUUGAAGGAAGCUUUGAAGUCUUAUGCUCUGGUAUUUGAUGCUGUUUACACACCGAAAAUUACCAGAUUACUCCGGGAAGCAGGAGAAUGUGGAGCUACAAUUGUAACAGGGGUGGAGAUGUUUAUAGGGCAGGCAUACGAACAAUAUGAGAGAUUUACAGGCUUGCCUGCACCUAAGGAAUUAUUUAGGGAGAUUAUGGAAAGAUCUUGAUUGUCUUGGGUAAUCUUCUAGGUAAAUGGGUCCACAUUGACUUUGAAUGAAAUGCCCUGUCUUCUGCUGAAGUUUGGGUACUUGUAUACAGAAUAGAGACACUAACACUGGAGGCUUCAAACCAAUAUGUGUUGUGCAAAAUGAUACACAUAUGAAGCAUGCAGAUUACGAGUGUAAAGAAGAGAUUGAUUUUAUGAAGUUAUUGUGUUGAUUAGAAGAAUAAAAGAAAAUAUUUGGUGGUUGUUCUUCUCGUCUCUUCGCUUGUGAAGAAAUGUGGAGAAAUUGGAUUUGUGAAGCAAAAUUUCUCCUCGACUUCAUUAUGGAGAAAUUGACGGACUAAACAAAAUGAGGGUUGCAGUCUAUGAUCUGGUCCUUGAUGCUGCUGCUGCUGCCAUCUGCGACCAGUUGACUCCUAAACAAAUUCUCAAGACCUUCAAAGCGAUCCCUAAUUUUUAUCUUUUGAACCACCGCAGUCCCAGUUUGGGCUUUUGCUAUAAAUCGUACUCGAUCAUUAUGUCGACAAGUAAAUAAGGUUCCACUUUGUUUCAUUAUAAUAGCUCUUAGGUAUGUUAUCUUUUUCUGUCAAUGAAGGGUAUCCUACCUUAUAACUA
Molecule: RNA transcript, 2317 nt
Organism: Erigeron canadensis
Lineage: Eukaryota; Viridiplantae; Streptophyta; Magnoliopsida; Asterales; Asteraceae
Gene name: bifunctional 3-dehydroquinate dehydratase/shikimate dehydrogenase, chloroplastic
Exons: 15
Source: RefSeq, a predicted model, not a curated record